Molecule: ribosomal RNA, 465 nt
Filed under: uncultured bacterium
Lineage: Bacteria
Description: bacterial SSU rRNA
Rfam family: Bacterial small subunit ribosomal RNA
Source: RNAcentral
ACGCUGGCGGUAUGCCUAANACAUGCAAGUCGAACGAGUAUCUUUUUUUGUUCAAAAAAAGGAUUGCAGUGGCGAACGGGUGAGGAACACGUGAGAAAUCUGCCUUCAACACUGGGAUAACUCCGGGAAACCGGGGCUAAUACCGGAUAUGAAACCUGCGGGCAUCCGCGGGUUUGGAAAGUUUUUCGGUUGAAGAUGAUCUCGCGGCCUAUCAGCUUGUUGGUGAGGUAAUGGCUCACCAAGGCGACGACGGGUAGCCGGCCUGAGAGGGCGACCGGCCACACUGGGACUGAGACACGGCCCAGACUCCUACGGGAGGCAGCAGUGGGGAACAUUGGGCAAUGGAGGAAACUCUGACCCAGCGACGCCGCGCGCGGGAUGAAGGCCUUCGGGUUGUAAACCGCUUUCAGCAGGGAAGAAGCGAAAGUGACGGUACCUGCAGAAGAAGCACCGGCUAACUAUGUG